ACGGAAGGCAGCAGUGAGGAAUAUUGGUCAAUGGGCGGAAGCCUGAACCAGCCAAGUCGCGUGAAGGAUGAAGGUAUUAUGUAUUGUAAACUUCUUUAGCAGCAGAGUAAUAAGGGGGUCGUGACCCCCGAUGCAAGUAUGCUGAAAAUAAGGAUCGGCUAACUCCGUGCCAGCAGCCGCGGUAAUACGGAGGAUCCGAGCGUUAUCCGGAUUUAUCGGGUUUAAAGGGUGCGCAGGCGGUUUUUUAAGUCAGUGGUUAAAUCGUGAGGCUCAACCUCAUCACGCCAUUGAUACUGGAAGACUUGAUUGCGGUUGAGGUUGGCGGAAUUCGUCGUGUAGCGGUGAAAUGCAUAGAUAUGACGAAGAACACCGAUUGCGUAGGCAGCUGACCAAGCCGUAAAUGACGCUCAUGCACGAAAGUGCGGGGAUCGAACAGGAUUAGAUACCCUGGUA
RNAcentral lists this ribosomal RNA (453 nucleotides) under uncultured Porphyromonadaceae bacterium. Its description in RNAcentral is "partial 16S ribosomal RNA". It matches the Rfam family "Bacterial small subunit ribosomal RNA", at positions 341 to 792 of the family's 1533-position model. The record is from RNAcentral. Lineage: Bacteria; Pseudomonadati; Bacteroidota; Bacteroidia; Bacteroidales; Porphyromonadaceae.